This is a non-coding RNA of Apiotrichum porosum, 85 nucleotides long. NCBI's taxonomy places the organism in Eukaryota, Fungi, Basidiomycota, Tremellomycetes, Trichosporonales, Trichosporonaceae. The record is from the annotation of a RefSeq genome assembly.
UACCCUAUGGCUCAGUUGGUUAGCGCGUGGAGCUGUUAUACCACCAGCAACUCCGAGGUCCCAGGUUCGAGCCCUGGUGGGGUAG